UAACACCAGAGACUAGGGCCUCAGUGAUGACAGAAAAAGAUAGCAGUCAAGCUUCUGCUGCAUCAAGUCAGCCCUUUGCGGGAACUGUUUUAAGAGCACAAAGUGUAUCUCAGGAAGCUUCACCUAGCGUCUUUACUUCAAAGCCUCUCAUAGAUUCUUCACUUGUGAAAAAUACAUAUGUUGGUUUAAGUUCAGGCGGUGCCCAUAUUGGACAUCCAAAUUUUGGUAACCAGCAACCAAGUGACGAAUGCCUUAAAAGAAAAUCUGAAUCUCUAUCUGGUUCAGAAGCAAGGGGUCAUUCAGCUGCAUUGGUGCAACCUGCUCUAGGAAAUCAUAAUGGGAGUGGAGGUGCACACAAGGGCCUUCGGAUGGCUAACGUUGUACAUCGAUUCAAGAGCUUAGUUGAAUCUUUGGAAAUUGGUGUUGUGCUAUCUGGGAGGUUGUGGUCCUCAAGCCAAGCAAUCUUCCCAAAAGGUUCGUCUUCUCCUGACAAUUGGCAUGUAUCUAUGCAUCUUCCAGCUUUGUUUUAAUUAGAAGAGAUCUUGUUAUAAGGAGUUAAUCUUUUGCAGCUUUGCAUCCUUGAAUGAUUUUUAUGUUAUAUGUAGCAGUAUUCAUGGUAUAGGAAUGUUUUGCUGCUAUUAAUUACUGGUUUACUCCUUAUCUGAGUGUGUUUACUGAUAUAUUUGAUUUCGCCAGCACUUUGAUUUAUAUUUUUCUGUUUUCCUUAACUUGUUUUACCUUUGUAAACACAGGGUUCAGGAGCAGAGUAAAAUACUUCAGCAUCGUGGAUCCAACACAAAUGGCAUACUACAUAUCUGAAAUAUUAGACGCCGGACCACAGGGACCUCUGUUUAUGGUAAAUUUCAGCCUUUUGUACCAUCUGUACAUCUGUUCUUUCCGUAUCUUGAUAUAUGUUGCUUGAUGCAUUACAGGUGACUCUGGAAAACUGUCCAGGCGAACUUUUUAUCAACGUCUCUCCUGCCAAGUGCUGGAGCAUGGUCCGUGAGAGGCUGAAUAUGGAAAUACGGAGGCAACUCAGUACGGGAAGAGCUAAUCUUCCUGCACUACAGCCACCGGGAUCAGUUGAUGGUUUUGAAAUGUUCGGGUUGCUGUCACCGGCAAUAGUUCAGGUGAGGAAAGUAUUCACUUGACCGCAUUCUGAAACACACUACACCUCAAGAAAUGGGGAAAAAAAGAAGAAACACUGAAGCACACCAAUGCCAUGAGCAGUGGAACCUGUUUUCAGGUUGCAUAUAUAACUGCAUGAUGAUUCCGCACAUGCUCGGCUUGUGGCUGCGAAUUUCCCAAGCCACUGGUGACUGACAUAUAUGCCACUGAAUGAUUUCGUUUAAUUCAUCCCAGGCAAUCGAGGCACGGGAUAGAGAUCGCAUCUGCACAGAGUACUGGAGAUCCAGGCCUCAUGUUGUCACUGAAGAUCGUGCGACGGCGCCACCUCAGGCUCAGGGUCCUCUGCAUGCGCUGAGGGGUCUAUUCCAGCGAGCCAACCGCAAUGAGCUGCUAGCCCUACGGAGUCUACUGGUGAGCAACAUCAGCCCGGACGACUUCUCCAGGCGGCAGGCUACCCAAAUCCUCGACGAGGAGAUCGCCAAGCAGUGGCGCUGACAGGCGUAAAUACAACUCUGUAAUCUCUUGAUGGCAUGACGGGACCAAGCAGUUUUCGACCCUGACGAGAGAGCGGCUCCUUCCGUUGCCCCCCGUGCCCAUUCUUUGUAUUGUUGUGUCCAUGCUCCAUGCCAUAAGAUCUUGUCCCCAUUUGGAUGCGAUCGAAUGACCGACGACGGCUCAUCAACUGACCAGCGUACAUACCGUCUGUCUGGAAACUCUUGUGGUGUUGUAGGUUUAGUUAUUUUUCUUUUAAACGAAAUAUUUAACCUUCUUUUUUAGUGAGGCUGAAACGCAGGCUCAUGAGACCUGAGUUUUUUACAUGAAAGGUUGUGUACAUCAGAAAUGUGCAGGGCCUGUUGACACUACUAGCAGAUAGGCGUGAUUUUUGUGCCGAGUUGGUCAGAGUCGAACAGUCCAUGUGCUUCAGGUACUCAUCCUGCAUGGUUGACUGGGAGUUGGUACUUGCAAGCUGCUGUUACAGACCAGUAGUCCAAUGAACCCCAUCUGACUGGUCGCUGCCAAGUGGGCCAACUUUUCACUCUGACCAGUCUCUGAAUAUUCUGCAAAUAGGGAUGAUGAAAUAUCUGUUUUAUAAAAUCUAAUCCAUACAUAUUAGAAUUCUAAUCUAACUGAGCAUUCGAUUCGGAUAUAGCAUGAAUAUUAAACGUUUAGAUUUAGAUACAACUUCUGUGCAAGCAAACCUUCUAGACCUUUAGAUUCUUUAGAUCAUGAUUCAGCCGUAUAUGCAUUCAUAGUUUGUUAGAGAUUUUUUUAAUAAAGUGCACAAGCUGACGGGGAAAUUAAGUAUUAAAUAUAAACUACGGAUGAAUCAUGAUCUAAAAAUCUAAGAAUAGAAGCUUGCACCUAAAACUUAUUUGUAAAAAUAGUCGUUUCAUUAAAUAAUAGAUAUAUCCAAAUUUAUUUUUGAGCUUUUUCUAUUUGAUUUCAGAUCUGCUUUAGACAAAACUAUGGAAUAUGCGAAACAUUGAAAGUAAUUAAUAGUAUAUCUAUAAAUAACUAUUAAUAGACAAAACUAUGGAAUAUGCGAAACAUUGAAGUCGUUCCAUGCUUAGUGACUAAUUAUUUAAUUGUAAUAUUACUAACGAAACAUUGAAAGUAAUUAAUAGUAUAUCUACAAAUAACUAUUAAUGUUAUUAAUGAUACAUAAAUGGUAAAUUAGUUUUAGUAUUUUUAUAAUUUAGUUAAAUAUAAUUUAUUUGUUGCUUUUACUAAAUUAAUUUAUUUAGUUACUGAUGUAAAUUAGUUUACAUAAUUCGUUUCAUGAUAAAUAUUAUAUAAAUAAUAACUAAUUAAUUGAUAUAUUUACUUUACUUUGACCAUCAUGAUUAAUUUAGUUUACUUUGAUAGUGGAGAUAAUAAAGAAUGUACUUUAAUUUUACUUCACUUUGGUUAUCUAUGAGAUUAGUAGUAAAGUUUUAUUCAUCUAUCUUGAGUUUGAUAACAUGCACUUUGAGUUUACCUGAGUAAUUAUCUGAGCAGAUAUCGGAAUCCGUUACAUCCAUUUCUUACUCAUAUUCGAUAGUAUCCAUAUCCCUAUUUGAAUUUGAAUUAAAACAUGGCAAAAUUUGAUAUCCGAAUUCAACUUCAUGCAAAUUUGACUUGUUUUCGUCCCUACUUGUAGUCCCGUCUACCAGCACGGAGAUCGGUGACGGCGAAUCCUCCAACAUUGUUUUUCUAAUAGUGAUCGACUACUUACUAGCAAACAUGUGCUUAUGCAUUACAACAUAAUCUGAUACAUAUUUGAAAUGGACAGCUAUCACAGUAAGACAUGGGUUGUUCAAACCCUAUAAGAGCUUGUUCGGUUAGUUGAUCUGUUUUAAGAGCACAAAGUGUAUCUCAGGAAGCUUCACCUAGCGUCUUUACUUCAAAGCCUCUCAUAGAUUCUUCACUUGUGAAAAAUACAUAUGUUGGUUUAAGUUCAGGCGGUGCCCAUAUUGGACAUCCAAAUUUUGGUAACCAGCAACCAAGUGACGAAUGCCUUAAAAGAAAAUCUGAAUCUCUAUCUGGUUCAGAAGCAAGGGGUCAUUCAGCUGCAUUGGUGCAACCUGCUCUAGGAAAUCAUAAUGGGAGUGGAGGUGCACACAAGGGCCUUCGGAUGGCUAACGUUGUACAUCGAUUCAAGAGCUUAGUUGAAUCUUU
RNAcentral lists this long non-coding RNA (3786 nucleotides) under Zea mays. RNAcentral's name for it is "long non-coding RNA (ZMAY_LNC002632)". Lineage: Eukaryota; Viridiplantae; Streptophyta; Magnoliopsida; Poales; Poaceae. The record is from RNAcentral.